Toxorhynchites rutilus septentrionalis is the source of this 571-nucleotide long non-coding RNA. RefSeq lists it as uncharacterized. Lineage: Eukaryota; Metazoa; Arthropoda; Insecta; Diptera; Culicidae. The transcript is spliced from 3 exons. The record is from RefSeq and is a predicted model, not a curated record.
UCAACCCUACUAAACAUAGGGUCAGCUCUUGAAACAUCCAAGCUAUUGUACGGAUUUGGCUUCACUAGUAUUAACCACGAUAGAUACAAUACGGUAGCGCGACUUAUGAGAAAGGCCUUUCAGCCAUCUUGGAUUUUGAUGUAAACAAUCUGCAAUAUUUUGCAGUAUCUUUUUUUGCUCUUUGUGUGUGGAAUUGUUUUGGUGGGAAUAAGAGCAUUGGAAAGUUGAAAGCUCAAGAGGUCGGUGAUGGAGAUAUUUUUCCCGCGUUUUGCGGUUAGAGACGUCGGUUAAUUGUUCGAUUGGCAUAAAAAGAUGAUAUAUCAGGAUUUCUAGGACCUUCCUGCGACUUGUUUUAUCGUCGAUAUUGUUCAGCUCAUAUAUUAUAGAAAAAAAAACCCGAAGCUGUAACUGUAAAAAUAACCAUAAGCCACCGAUUAAUUUAUAAUUUACAGUUUACAAUUCUUCCGCAAGUGCAAUUAUUUCACAAGUGUGUAUAUGUGUGACCAUUAUAUUUAGUGAACAACUAUACGAAUGUCAAACAUUUGUACUUUACUUUUGCACGUAUGAAUCU